UACGUAGGGGGCUAGCGUUGUCCGGAAUCAUUGGGCGUAAAGCGCGUGUAGGCGGCCCGGUAAGUCCGCUGUGAAAGUCGGGGGCUCAACCCUCGGAAGCCGGUGGAUACUGUCGGGCUGGAGUACGGAAGAGGCGAGUGGAAUUCCUGGUGUAGCGGUGAAAUGCGCAGAUAUCAGGAGGAACACCGAUUGCGAAGGCAGCUCGCUGGGACGUAACUGACGCUGAGGCGCGAAAGCGUGGGGAGCAAACAGG
This 253-nucleotide ribosomal RNA is filed under the name uncultured bacterium. Its description in RNAcentral is "partial 16S ribosomal RNA". It matches the Rfam family "Bacterial small subunit ribosomal RNA", at positions 524 to 776 of the family's 1533-position model. The record is from RNAcentral.